GUGAGUGUAGCUCAGUCGGUUAGAGCACAAGGUUGUGGUCCUUGGGGUCGGGGGAUCGAAUCCCCUCACUCACC
Molecule: transfer RNA, 74 nt
Filed under: Planctomycetota bacterium
Lineage: Bacteria; Pseudomonadati; Planctomycetota
Description: Planctomycetes bacterium tRNA-His
Rfam family: tRNA
About the family: Transfer RNA (tRNA) molecules are approximately 80 nucleotides in length. Their secondary structure includes four short double-helical elements and three loops (D, anti-codon, and T loops). Further hydrogen bonds mediate the characteristic L-shaped molecular structure. tRNAs have two regions of fundamental functional importance: the anti-codon, which is responsible for specific mRNA codon recognition, and the 3' end, to which the tRNAs corresponding amino acid is attached (by aminoacyl-tRNA synthetases). tRNAs cope with the degeneracy of the genetic code in two manners: having more than one tRNA (with a specific anti-codon) for a particular amino acid; and 'wobble' base-pairing, i.e. permitting non-standard base-pairing at the 3rd anti-codon position.
Source: RNAcentral